UAACAAAUCAAUUAAUCAGUAUUGUGUUCCCAAGGUCCACUGGGAUUUUCCACUCGGUAAGUAGAACAGUUCAUUAAUAUAAUUGGGAACAAUCCUUAAAUUGACGGAACAGAAACUGUUCAAUCAGGUGAAGAAGUUGUGUUUGGAAGCUGUAGAAGUGAAAGGUAGCAGUUUCGUGAUAAAUCACAGCAGACACUAUAAAAAUAGAACUUGCUGCACUAAAUGUGUAGUAGGCAGGCUAAGAUAGAUCAUUACAUUCAAGUUUAUUCAUUUAUCCACAUUUAAUCACACAAGCAAAUAGAGGAGAUCGUAUGAUAUUUGGAAAUUGUGUUUUUUAAGUUCCCAAACUGACAGUAGCACUUUAAUACUUUAGCCAUUUAUAAAUGUUCAGAUGAGGAACCGUGUUGCCAGAUUGGUGUGUUUUCCAGUAAUUGUUCAAAACCCACACAAAAAACUCUAUAGUAAAUACACAAAUCUUACCAACAACAGUACAAAUAAAUUUUGACAAUGAAUUGAUUAAAAAAGACAACAAAACUGUGGCGCAUCACAUAUUUACAAUAUAAUAACGCAAAUGAAGUGUUCUUGUCUAAAGAAGGUUACGUUUAACUACGUUGUAAACUUUUUUCCAUGUCUGUCAUUUAGCACAUCAGAAAUAUUAAAAUCCCACCUGUCUAAUCCCAUUUCAUCCCAUAUGGUACAACUUAAAACCACCACAAUCUGCCCAGUCUGCCAACACUGAUGAAGAAAAUCGGGUCCUUCAGAUUUGCCAGCUUCCAACAUCCCUCUUUUAUUUGAAUCCCCCCACCCCACCAUGGAGCAGCCAGAGAGCCUUACAAAAAAGUCAGAGACAGUAUUUACACUCAACCUUGUUUCUCUCUCUUCCCCAUGUUCUCCAACUUCUCUCUCUCCUGCCUUCUCUACUAGUUUUACAGCUGUUCUUACUACACUCUUCUCCUACUCCACCUUCACUGCCAUGUUCUAGGUCUUUGCAACAGAGGAGGAAAAGGACAAAAACCUUAAUCGGUUCACUGGCACCUUCUGCCACCACUGUCUCUCCCUUCCACAGUCUUGUCCUCCAACUGCUUCCUCUUCCACCUCCCAGUCCUUGAGUCAGGAGGGGCCAUAUGUGAAGAAGGGAAGAAAAGGCUGAUGAAAAUGUAGUAGGCAGAAGAUCUUCCUAUUUGAUAAAACAACCAGGAAAAGAACAAAUGAGGGAAAAGCGGAAUUGAAAGUCCACUGGUUGCCUUGCACUGUGUGUGGAAUAACUUGGGAUGACACCUGGGAGCCUGCCAGCGAGUUCCAGCAUUUUUUUGCCAGAGUCUCCAAACACCAACCAGCUUUCAGAACGUCAAUUUUGAGUGUUUUGUCGUUGUUGUUUUUUGUUCUUGCUGUACCUUAUUAAAGUUUUUGUACAGUGCA
Silurus meridionalis is the source of this 1419-nucleotide long non-coding RNA. RefSeq lists it as uncharacterized. The transcript is spliced from 4 exons. The record is from RefSeq and is a predicted model, not a curated record. Lineage: Eukaryota; Metazoa; Chordata; Actinopteri; Siluriformes; Siluridae.